AGCAGAGUGGCUCAAUGGAAAGAGUCCGGGCUUGGGAGUCAUAGUUCAUGGGUUCGAAUCCCGACUAUGCUA
Molecule: transfer RNA, 72 nt
Filed under: Ornithorhynchus anatinus (platypus)
Lineage: Eukaryota; Metazoa; Chordata; Mammalia; Monotremata; Ornithorhynchidae
Rfam family: tRNA
About the family: Transfer RNA (tRNA) molecules are approximately 80 nucleotides in length. Their secondary structure includes four short double-helical elements and three loops (D, anti-codon, and T loops).
Source: Rfam by way of RNAcentral